UACGAGGGGGGCAAGCGUUGUUCGGAAUUAUUGGGCGUAAAGGGUGCGUAGGCGGCCCUGUAAGUCUCGUGUGAAAUCUUCAAGCUCAACUUGGAGUCUGCACGGGAAACUGCAUGGCUGGAGUAUGGGAGAGGUGAGUGGAAUUCCUGGUGUAGCGGUGAAAUGCGUAGAUAUCAGGAGGAACACCUGUGGCGAAAGCGGCUCACUGGACCAUAACUGACGCUGAGGCACGAAAGCUAGGGGAGCAAACAGG
Molecule: ribosomal RNA, 253 nt
Filed under: uncultured bacterium
Lineage: Bacteria
Description: partial 16S ribosomal RNA
Rfam family: Bacterial small subunit ribosomal RNA
Source: RNAcentral